UGCAGUCGAGCGGAUGAGGGAGCUUGCUCCUGGAUUCAGCGGCGGACGGGUGAGUAAUGCCUAGGAAUCUGCCUGGUAGUGGGGGAUAACGUCCGGAAACGGGCGCUAAUACCGCAUACGUCCUGAGGGAGAAAGUGGGGGAUCUUCGGACCCCACGCUAUCAGAUGAGCCUAGGUCGGAUUAGCUAGUUGGUGGGGUAAAGGCCUACCAAGGCGACGAUCCGUAACUGGUCUGAGAGGAUGAUCAGUCACACUGGAACUGAGACACGGUCCAGACUCCUACGGGAGGCAGCAGUGGGGAAUAUUGGACAAUGGGCGAAAGCCUGAUCCAGCCAUGCCGCGUGUGUGAAGAAGGUCUUCGGAUUGUAAAGCACUUUAAGUUGGGAGGAAGGGCAGUAAGUUAAUACCUUGCUGUUUUGACGUUACCAACAGAAUAAGCACCGGCUAACUUCGUGCCAGCAGCCGCGGUAAUACGAAGGGUGCAAGCGUUAAUCGGAACUACUGGGCGUAAAGCGCGCGUAGGUGGUUCAGCAAGUUGGAUGUGAAAUCCCCGGGCUCAACCUGGGAACUGCAUCCAAAACUACUGAGCUAGAGUACGGUAGAGGGUGGUGGAAUUUCCUGUGUAGCGGUGAAAUGCGUAGAUAUAGGAAGGAACACCAAAUGGCGAACCGACCACCUGGACUGAUACUGACACUGAGGUGCGAAAGCGUGGGGAGCAAACAGGAUUAGAUACCCUGAAAGUCCACGUCGUAAACGAUGUCGACUAACCCUUGGCAUCCUU
This 780-nucleotide ribosomal RNA is filed under the name uncultured bacterium. Its description in RNAcentral is "bacterial SSU rRNA". It matches the Rfam family "Bacterial small subunit ribosomal RNA", at positions 56 to 833 of the family's 1533-position model. The record is from RNAcentral.